GCUUAACUCUGCCCCGAUUAGCGCUGUUUCGAUAUAACGCUGUGCAAUUACAUUACAUUGCAAUACAUUGUUACAUUGUAUAUGAAGAGUAAAAAUGCAUUAUGUAAAUUAUGCAAAAAUAACCCCGCUUUGCGCUGUUGUUUCGCUUUACGCUCAAUAUUUUUGGAACGUAACCCCGCGUUAAGCGGGGUAUUACUGUAUAUUUGUAUUAUAUCACUGUAUAUAUGUAGCAUUACUGGCUGCGCAUGCUCCUGCCUAUUUCUACUUUCCCCUAUUUCGACCGAGAAUGUCGGUGAGAGAGAACGAGCACGUUUUUCAGCCGAAAAUUCCGAGUCAGGAUACUAAUCUUUUUACUUUCUUUUCUGUGUAAUAGCUGUUCGCUAUUUUUAGGCAUUGGUAAUCUUUUGGUUUGGUUUCCAUUAUUACGUUAUUUUGCCUAUUUUCAAUCAUACAACAUUCUCUUAUUGUAACAUUGAAGAAAUCUUUUCCAAACGUUUUGCGGUUCUGUCUCUGUGCAUUUUUAGUUUAUGGAGGAUUUUGUUUUUGUGGUUGGGUCGUUUUGGGUCCUCAUCUCAAAUUUCGUACGCUAAGCUAACAUUGGAAUGUUUGUUUUCACUUAUGAACGUUGAUGAUAUGUUUGCUACAUUUGCUACUCGAUGCAUACGAAUCGGUUCGUGAUUCAUAUAAAGAAAUCAAUGACUUAUCACAGUCAAAUUCAACUCUAAAAAAAUUUUUAGAAGAAUAUCCAAUGGAGAAUUUUGAUUCUGGAUUCCAUAAUAACUCAUUUGUUGACCAAAUUCAAAACUAUUUUCGAAUCUGUUUUCGCUCAUCGUCGAAUGCUUCUUGACAUAUAAGAAUUUAAAUUUUACGACUAAAAUUGUUAUGAUUUUAUAACUCAACUUUUAAUUAAUAUUUAAAUGAAUAAAAUAGUGAUUUAAUUUACGAAAAAUUAUUUGAUU
Long non-coding RNA from Dermatophagoides farinae (American house dust mite), 959 nucleotides. RefSeq lists it as uncharacterized. The record is from RefSeq and is a predicted model, not a curated record. NCBI's taxonomy places the organism in Eukaryota, Metazoa, Arthropoda, Arachnida, Sarcoptiformes, Pyroglyphidae.